Small nucleolar RNA from Melanotaenia boesemani (Boeseman's rainbowfish), 117 nucleotides. The record is from RefSeq and is a predicted model, not a curated record. Lineage: Eukaryota; Metazoa; Chordata; Actinopteri; Atheriniformes; Melanotaeniidae.
CUCCAAUGACGAUCCAGCCAUGCUAAUACUGAUGCAUAAGAUGGAUGCACUGUCUGUCUUGGUGUAAAUGAGUUCAACUCACCUUCUCACACUGGUGAUCAGUGUGUACUGAGGAGA